CCCGCACAAGCGGUGGAGCAUGUGGUUUAAUUCGAUGAUACGCGAGGAACCUUACCUGGGCUCAAAUGUAUGUUGACGUAUUCUGAAAGGGAUACUUCUUCGGACAAUAUACAAGGUGCUGCAUGGUUGUCGUCAGCUCGUGCCGUGAGGUGUCGGGUUAAGUCCCAUAACGAGCGCAACCCCUAUCAUUAGUUGCCAUCAGGUCAAGCUGGGGACUCUAAUGAAACUGCCUACGCAAGUAGUGAGGAAGGUGGGGAUGACGUCAAAUCAGCACGGCCCUUACGUCCAGGGCUACACACGUGCUACAAUGGCCGGUACAAAGGGCAGCUACCUGGUGACAGGAUGCUAAUCUCAAAAGCCGGUCUCAGUUCGGAUUGCAGUCUGCAACUCGACUGCAUGAAGUUGGAAUCGCUAGUAAUCGCGGAUCAGCCAAGCCGCGGUGAAUACGUUCCCGGGCCUU
RNAcentral lists this ribosomal RNA (460 nucleotides) under uncultured Sphingobacteriales bacterium. RNAcentral describes it as "bacterial SSU rRNA". It matches the Rfam family "Bacterial small subunit ribosomal RNA", at positions 920 to 1382 of the family's 1533-position model. Lineage: Bacteria; Pseudomonadati; Bacteroidota; Sphingobacteriia; Sphingobacteriales. The record is from RNAcentral.